This 45-nucleotide non-coding RNA is filed under the name Echinostoma caproni. The record is from RNAcentral. Lineage: Eukaryota; Metazoa; Platyhelminthes; Trematoda; Plagiorchiida; Echinostomatidae.
GCACUGCUGACGAGUCCUAAACAGGACGCAACAGCUGUCCAGUAC